RNAcentral lists this long non-coding RNA (946 nucleotides) under Homo sapiens (human). RNAcentral describes it as "non-protein coding lnc-XRCC3-6:1". The record is from RNAcentral. Lineage: Eukaryota; Metazoa; Chordata; Mammalia; Primates; Hominidae.
AUUCCACCUACACUUCAAGGGAUCGCCUUGAAGAAGUCAGUAUUUUUGCAGAGAUGCGUCUCCACCCAAAGGUCCUAGGUACCUUUGAGCAAUUGUGAAAGCCAUAACCCCUCACCCCGAAAUGACCUGUCCUCAUGCAUAUAGAAUCUUACAAUCACAGGGGUUAUGGAUCCUAUUUAGAGCCUAUAUUGAAAUCUUGAGGACGUCAGUAGUUCUCUAGAAUCCCUGUUCCAGGCGCCUCUGUUCCUGAGCAGUGUUAUGUGAACAGUGUCCUCUGUCUGUGGCUCUGUGUCCUGGCUGAGAAAGGCAGCGCUGCCUUCAGGGAACUGGGCCCAUUGCUGGGAGUCAGAGCCUUACGUGCUCACUGUGCCCCACGUGGCUUAGACAGUACCGGCUACAGCCCUUAUCCCGACUCCACGGGUGUGAGCACAGAGGCUGAGUCACCUGCCCGAAGCAGCACAGCGACUGAACCGUGUGAAUGGCACGUCAUCACCACAGUCCCCUCUGAGCACAUCGGGCAGGGUCGCUGCUGUGGGGCCUUAUAUCCAGGUUCCCAGUGCCGGAAGCUUUCCUGUGCUGGGGGACCCUAUAAAGCCCCAGUCUCUCAGUAUUGCCUCAAAUGCUGCUCAUGGAAGAUCCAAAUCCGGGCAUCGAGAUUGGUAAAGUGCCACCUCCCAUCCCGGGUGUAGGCAAGCAGCUGCCUCCAAGCUAUGGGACAUACCCAAGUCCUACACCUCUGGGUCCUGGGUCGACAAGCUCCCUGGAAAGGAGGAAGGAAGGCAGCUUGCCCAGGCCCAGUGCAGGCCUGCCAAGUCGACAGAGGCCCACCCUGCUGCCCGCCACAGGCAGCACCCCCCAGCCAGGCUCCUCACAACAGAUUCAGCAGAGGAUUUCCGUACCGCCAAGUCCCACGUACCCGCCAGCGGGACCACCUGCAUUUCCAGCU